GUGCCAGCAGCCGCGGUAAUACGUAGGGUGCAAGCGUUAAUCGGAAUUACUGGGCGUAAAGCGUGCGCAGGCGGUUAUGCAAGACAGAGGUGAAAUCCCCGGGCUCAACCUGGGAACUGCCUUUGUGACUGCAUGGCUAGAGUACGGUAGAGGGGGAUGGAAUUCCGCGUGUAGCAGUGAAAUGCGUAGAUAUGCGGAGGAACACCGAUGGCGAAGGCAAUCACCUGGACCUGUACUGACGCUCAUGCACGAAAGCGUGGGGAGCAAACAGGAUUAGA
Molecule: ribosomal RNA, 278 nt
Filed under: uncultured Burkholderiales bacterium
Lineage: Bacteria; Pseudomonadati; Pseudomonadota; Betaproteobacteria; Burkholderiales
Description: partial 16S ribosomal RNA
Rfam family: Bacterial small subunit ribosomal RNA
Source: RNAcentral